Molecule: microRNA, 21 nt
Filed under: Glycine max (soybean)
Lineage: Eukaryota; Viridiplantae; Streptophyta; Magnoliopsida; Fabales; Fabaceae
Description: gma-miR9742
Source: miRBase by way of RNAcentral
UGUGUUGUUUGUUUUGUAGCA